UGAACUUAUCCUCUGCAGCAGAGGUAACUCUGGGUCUUCCUUUCCUGUGGCGGUCCUCAUGAGAGACAGGUAACUCUAAUGAACUUAUCCUCUGCAGCAGAGGUAACUCUGGGUCUUCCUUUCCUGUGGCGGUCCUCAUGAGAGACAGUUAACUCUAAUGAACUUAUCCUCUGCAGCAGAGGUGACUCUGGGUCUUCCUUUCCUGUGGAGGUCCUCAUGAGAGACAGUUAACUCUAAUGAACUUAUCCUCUGCAGCAGAGGUGACUCUGGGUCUUCCUUUCCUGUGGCGGUCCUCAUGAGAGACAGUUAACUCUAAUGAACUUAUCCUCUGCAGCAGAGGUGACUCUGGGUCUUCCUUUCCUGUGGC
Molecule: long non-coding RNA, 367 nt
Organism: Oncorhynchus tshawytscha (Chinook salmon)
Lineage: Eukaryota; Metazoa; Chordata; Actinopteri; Salmoniformes; Salmonidae
Source: Ensembl